UACGAAGGGGGCUAGCGUUGCUCGGAAUCACUGGGCGUAAAGCGCACGUAGGCGGGUCGUUAAGUCGGGGGUGAAAUCCUGGAGCUCAACUCCAGAACUGCCUUCGAUACUGGCGAUCUUGAGUCUGGGAGAGGUGAGUGGAACUCCGAGUGUAGAGGUGAAAUUCGUAGAUAUUCGGAAGAACACCAGUGGCGAAGGCGGCUCACUGGCCCGGUACUGACGCUGAGAUACGAAAGCGUGGGGAGCAAACAGG
RNAcentral lists this ribosomal RNA (253 nucleotides) under uncultured bacterium. RNAcentral describes it as "partial 16S ribosomal RNA". It matches the Rfam family "Bacterial small subunit ribosomal RNA", at positions 524 to 776 of the family's 1533-position model. The record is from RNAcentral.